Molecule: non-coding RNA, 21 nt
Filed under: Caenorhabditis elegans
Lineage: Eukaryota; Metazoa; Nematoda; Chromadorea; Rhabditida; Rhabditidae
Source: RNAcentral
CGACGAAACUUUUUAAAUUCC